This 301-nucleotide ribosomal RNA is filed under the name uncultured bacterium. Its description in RNAcentral is "partial 16S ribosomal RNA". It matches the Rfam family "Bacterial small subunit ribosomal RNA", at positions 509 to 807 of the family's 1533-position model. The record is from RNAcentral.
CAGUCGCCACGGUAACACGUAGGAGGCAAGCGUUGUCCGAAAUUAUUGGGCGUAAAGGGCUCGCAGGCGGUUUCUUAAGUCUGAUGUGAAAGCCCCCGGCUCAACCGGGGAGGGUCAUUGGAAACUGGGAAACUUGAGUGCAGAAGAGGAGAGUGGAAUACCACGUGUAGCGGUGAAAUGCGUAGAGAUGUGGAGGAACACCAGUGGCGAAGGCGACUCUCUGGUCUGUAACUGACGUUGAGGAGCGAAAGCGUGGGGAGCGAACAGGAUUAGAUACCCCAGUAGUCCCUGUCUCUUAUAC